UAAUAUAUAUUUCAACAGGACGGAUCCGGAAAUGAUAUUAUGGGGGCCAAUAACACAUAUAAUAUUAAAAAUUAU
This is a non-coding RNA of Arachis ipaensis, 75 nucleotides long. NCBI's taxonomy places the organism in Eukaryota, Viridiplantae, Streptophyta, Magnoliopsida, Fabales, Fabaceae. The record is from RefSeq and is a predicted model, not a curated record.